Pongo abelii (Sumatran orangutan) is the source of this 109-nucleotide small nuclear RNA. Lineage: Eukaryota; Metazoa; Chordata; Mammalia; Primates; Hominidae. The record is from Ensembl.
GUGCUCGCAUCAGCAGCACACAGACUAAAAAAUUGGAACAAUACAGAGAAGAUUAGCAUGGCCCCCGUGCAAGGAUGACAAAAUUCAUGAAGUGUUCCAUAUAGAUUUU